CCUACGGGUGGCAGCAGUGGGGGAUAUUGCACAAUGGGGGAAACCCUGAUGCAGCGACGCCGCGUGAGUGAAGAAGUAUUUCGGUAUGUAAAGCUCUAUCAGCAGGGAAGAAAAUGACAGUACCUGACCAAGAAGCCCCGGCUAACUACGUGCCAGCAGCCGCGGUAAUACGUAGGGGGCAAGCGUUAUCCGGAUUUACUGGGUGUAAAGGGAGCGUAGACGGUUAUGUAAGUCUGGAGUGAAAGCCCGGGGCCCAACCCCGGGACUGCUUUGGAAACUGUGUAACUGGAGUACAGGAGGGGCAGGCGGAAUUCCUGGUGUAGCGGUGAAAUGCGUAGAUAUCAGGAGGAACACCGGCGGCGAAGGCGGCUUACUAAACUGUGACUGACAUUGAUGCUCGAAAGUGUGGGUAUCAAACAGGAUUAGAUACCCUUGUAGUC
Molecule: ribosomal RNA, 440 nt
Filed under: uncultured bacterium
Lineage: Bacteria
Description: partial 16S ribosomal RNA
Rfam family: Bacterial small subunit ribosomal RNA
Source: RNAcentral